UGGGGAAUAUUGCGCAAUGGACGAAAGUCUGACGCAGCGACGCCGCGUGAGGGAUGAAGGCCUUCGGGUUGUAAACCUCUGUCAGGAGGGAAGAACCGCCAUGGUAGUAACUGCCCAUGGUCUGACGGUACCUCCAAAGGAAGCACCGGCUAACUCCGUGCCAGCAGCCGCGGUAAUACGGAGGGUGCAAGCGUUAAUCGGAAUCACUGGGCGUAAAGCGCGCGUAGGCGGCUUUGUAAGUCAGAGGUGAAAGCCCACGGCUCAACCGUGGAACUGCCUUUGAUACUGCAAGGCUACGAGUUUGUGAGAGGAUAGUGGAAUUCCUGGUGUAGGAGUGAAAUCCGUAGAGAUCAGGAGGAACAUCAGUGGCGAAGGCGACUGUCUGGCACAACACUGACGC
This 400-nucleotide ribosomal RNA is filed under the name uncultured bacterium. RNAcentral's name for it is "bacterial SSU rRNA". It matches the Rfam family "Bacterial small subunit ribosomal RNA", at positions 355 to 746 of the family's 1533-position model. The record is from RNAcentral.